UACAGAGGGUGCAAGCGUUAAUCGGAAUUACUGGGCGUAAAGAGCACGUAGGUGGUUGUUUAAGUUGGAUGUGAAAUCCCCGGGCUUAACCUGGGAGGGUCAUUCAAAACUGAGCGACUAGAGUACGGUAGAGGGAAGUGGAAUUUCCGGUGUAGCGGUGAAAUGCAUAGAUAUCGGAAGGAACAUCAGUGGCGAAGGCGACUUCCUGGACUGAUACUGACACUGAGGUGCGAAAGCGUGGGGAGCAAACAGG
Molecule: ribosomal RNA, 253 nt
Filed under: uncultured bacterium
Lineage: Bacteria
Description: partial 16S ribosomal RNA
Rfam family: Bacterial small subunit ribosomal RNA
Source: RNAcentral